This 1123-nucleotide long non-coding RNA is filed under the name Parus major (Great Tit). RNAcentral's name for it is "lncRNA (ENSPMJG00000001671.1)". Lineage: Eukaryota; Metazoa; Chordata; Aves; Passeriformes; Paridae. The record is from RNAcentral.
AUGAAAGACCAGAAGAACACUGUGGGGCACAGUGAAGCUGUUGGUAAUAGGCACUCAUGUCCUCUGGAGACUGUGGUUCAGCUCUCCAGUCAAAAUCUUGGUAAGCCUCCUAUGCAAGAGCAGCACAAAAAGGAACCAUACUGGGAUAAAAGGUCUGGGACCCAUUAAUGUUCAGGUUUAAGCAGAUAUGUGAUUUAAGAAAGAUUGUACUUCGCAGUUUGUUUUUACUGAUUUGGAAUAAGAAAAGGUUGAGGCCAGUGAAACCUUAGGAAGCCAAGUGAUUAUUUUAACCUUCCAUCUUGUUAGGAAGUAAUACUUUGAAUUAAAAAAAAAAAUCAUACUUGAUGUUUAUCACUUAUGACUAUGAGCCAUAGCAAUUUUACAGGUAUGAUAGAGGUAAGUAGUUUAUAUAAUGUUACUUAGUUUUUUACAGUCUCAGUUAUGAACUACUACUUACAGAGCCCUUAAAAUUAAAACAGGUUUUUGCAGAAAAAAAUUUUGUCACAAAAUUUCUGCCUUCUAGAUCACACAAAUUAAGCAUCCCAAAAUUCAAGUUAACUCUUUGUGUGUAUAUAUUUCAAAUUCAUUAGAUAUACUUGAAAAUGAAAAUGUUUUUUUGGUUAAUGUUUUAGUUGGCAUGUGUUUUUCCAGUCUUUAUUUGGAAAGUAAUUUUAGAUGGAUCUUUAGUAUUAGGUGAUGCUUUAAAUAACAAGAGACAAUUUUCCUUUUUCAGAAUGUUCCAAAAUUUUUGUUUCUUUUAAUGUUCAUUUUUCUUUCAAGUCAAGUAAAGCAGGUAGAUGCUUAGCAACUCUGAAAUUCAGACUAUAUAUCUGGGUAUCUAGCUUUGGUUAAAACAUUGUGGAUCAGUUUAUAGUACUGGAACUGAAGUGAAACCAAGUAAUUACUGUUUUCAAGAUGAGUUCUAAUUAGCUACCUUAUACUCUGUCCUUCGCCUUCUUAUCUUAAGGUUGACUCCAGAAUUUUGUGUUUCUCAUUUGCAGUUUCAAGUUUAGGACAGUGAUUGUUUUCAGAAUCUUUAAAAACUCUAUCAUUUCUUUUCAAGUGCAGGAAAAAAAACCCAAAACAACCCCCCAAUAAACCACCCUACUUAAAGAAAAAGAAG